This 70-nucleotide transfer RNA is filed under the name Candidia barbata (Lake Candidus dace). RNAcentral's name for it is "tRNA-Arg". It matches the Rfam family "tRNA". Rfam says of the family: Transfer RNA (tRNA) molecules are approximately 80 nucleotides in length. Their secondary structure includes four short double-helical elements and three loops (D, anti-codon, and T loops). The record is from RNAcentral. RNAcentral also lists the same sequence under 1 other name. Lineage: Eukaryota; Metazoa; Chordata; Actinopteri; Cypriniformes; Xenocyprididae.
AGGGAGUUAGUCCAAAUCAAGACCUCUGAUUUCGGCUCAGAAAAUUGUGGUUUAAACCCACAGCCCCCUU